RNAcentral lists this ribosomal RNA (253 nucleotides) under uncultured bacterium. RNAcentral's name for it is "partial 16S ribosomal RNA". It matches the Rfam family "Bacterial small subunit ribosomal RNA", at positions 524 to 776 of the family's 1533-position model. The record is from RNAcentral.
UACAGAGGUCCCGAGCGUUGUUCGGAUUCAUUGGGCGUAAAGGGUGCGUAGGCGGCGAGGUAAGUCUGAUGUGAAAUCCCGGGGCUCAACCCCGGAACUGCAUUGGAUACUGCUUUGCUAGAGUACUGGAGAGGGAACUGGAAUUUACGGUGUAGCAGUGAAAUGCGUAGAGAUCGUAAGGAAGGCCAGUGGCGAAGGCGAGUUCCUGGACAGUUACUGACGCUGAGGCACGAAGGCCAGGGGAGCAAACGGG